This 8334-nucleotide long non-coding RNA is filed under the name Triticum aestivum (bread wheat). RNAcentral describes it as "long non-coding RNA (TAES_LNC013283)". The record is from RNAcentral. Lineage: Eukaryota; Viridiplantae; Streptophyta; Magnoliopsida; Poales; Poaceae.
AACAAAAGUUUUCAAACAUUAAAACUAAAAUGUUCGAGUUGUGCCAAAUAAUGGAAAGGUAAUUGUGGUGAAGAAACCCCACUUUUACAAAAUGUUUAAGUACUCUAAGGUGAAUAAAACAUGGACUAAACAAUUAUUUAAAUGCUUUUAAAAAUAAUAAACAAUUACGAACUAUCUUAUUUUAGGUGCCAAAAUUAAUUGUGACAGUGGCAUAAUUAAUAAUACUAUUUUAGAUGCAACUUUUGUAUUUUNNNNNNNNNNNNNNNNNNNNNNNNNNNNNNNNNNNNNNNNNNNNNNNNNNNNNNNNNNNNNNNNNNNNNNNNNNNNNNNNNNNNNNNNNNNNNNNNNNNNNNNNNNNNNNNNNNNNNNNNNNNNNNNNNNNNNNNNNNNNNNNNNNNNNNNNNNNNNNNNNNNNNNNNNNNNNNNNNNNNNNNNNNNNNNNNNNNNNNNNNNNNNNNNNNNNNNNNNNNNNNNNNNNNNNNNNNNNNNNNNNNNNNNNNNNNNNNNNNNNNNNNNNNNNNNNNNNNNNNNNNNNNNNNNNNNNNNNNNNNNNNNNNNNNNNNNNNNNNNNNNNNNNNNNNNNNNNNNNNNNNNNNNNNNNNNNNNNNNNNNNNNNNNNNNNNNNNNNNNNNNNNNNNNNCGCGCCGAGGAACCGUCGCCUACCGCCAUCGCCCGACGCCACCCGGAGUUACCUCUCCGUCGAGUUGCUGCCCCGUCGCCGGAUCCUGCAUCCCCAACUCCUCCCCGAGCCCCGCUGCCUUGACCCUACGGAUCCGGGAUGAGGCCCCCGGCCUCUCUUCCUCUCUGCUCCUCGCGCCGUCCUGCAGUCGUGCACGCGCCGCUCGAUGCUCGUGCUCGCGGUGAGCACGCGCGCACCCGCGCGUUACCCGCGUGCCAGCCUCGCUUUGCUAUCGACGUCGUCCGCACGCCGCUCGCCUCCCGGGCCGCUACCCCCACUGCAGCGCACCUGCUCUGCUCCUAUCGCUUGCUCGCCUGGGGCACGCUCCGGCCUCCCCGGCCACGCGCCCGCCUGGGCCUCGGCUGCCCAGGGCCACGGCUCCGCAGCUCGCACUCGCCAUCGCCAUCGCCGCCGCGCUGCGCUCGCCUCCUCCCCUGCAUGCCGCUCAGGGCCGCGCCCAGCGCACCCCUGCACGCACCUCGGGCGCGAUGCCCGCACUCCUGCCCCCGUGCGGCCGCCUUACUCCGCCUGCUCACAGUGGGCGUGCUCUGACGACCACCCUCGCCUUUACGGCCUCGCCGCACCCCCUGGUGGCUCGGGCGUGCGGGGACCCCUUCGCCCCACUGCCCGCUACGCCCACCCGAACUUGCUAUGGCCCUUAGGGCCUAUGACGUAUGGGCCCCGCCCACAGAACGUUUAAUAAAAAACAUUUUUAAAAUAAUAAUAUAUAGAUACAUAUAUAUUAAUUAAUGAAUUAAAUUAAAUUAAUUAACUUAAUUAAUCCUGAUUAGAUUAACCUAAUUAACUAGUUAACCUGAUUAAGUGUGAUUAAUUAACUAACAGUGAAUGACAUGCGGGACCCACACGUCAGUUUGACUAAGACAACACCCUGUUGACUGCUGACGUCAUGCUGACAUCAUGAUGACAUCGGCAAACACUAUUCUGGAUAAUGUUGAAUUAAAAUAAUUAUAUAAAUGCUGAAAAUGAUUUAAAUUUUUUAAAAUUAAUAUAAAGUAAACCGUAGCUCGGAUGAAAAUACUUUGUACAUGAAAGUUGCUCAGAACGACGAGACGAACCCGGAUACGCAGCCCGUUCGUCCGCCACACUUCCUUAGCAUAGGAAACUCGCAACUUUCCCCCUCCGGUUCAUCUGUCCGAAAACGCGAAACAUUGGGAAUACUUUCCCGGAUGUUUUCCCCCCUUCGCCAGUAUCGCCUAGUACCGCGUUAGGUCACCCUAGCACGGAGUAUUGCCAUGUUAUGCCUUGUGUUGCUUUGAUUGAUCUUUUAGUUAUUGUGUUCCCCAUCCGUUAUUUCUUUCCGGUAGACCCCGAGACUGCCGGCGACCCCCAGUUCGACUACGGUGUUGGCGACCCUUCCUUCUUGCCAGAGCAACCAGGCAAGUCCCCCUUGAUCACCAGAUAUAGCCUAUUCCUUCUCUAUACUGCUUGCAUUAGAGUAGCGUAGCAUGUUACUGCUUUCGGUUAAUCCUAUUCUGCUGCAUGGCCUGUCAUUGUUGCUAAUUUUGUUGAUACCUUUACCUGCAAUCCUAAAUGCUUAGUAUAGGAUGCUAGUAUUCCAUCAGUGGCCCUACACUCUUGUCCGCCUGCCAUGCUAUACUACUGGGCCGUGAUCACUUCGGGAGGUGAUCACGGGCAUAUGAUAUAUACUUUAUACUGUUACAUUACUUAUGAUACUGUUCGGAGAUGGGGGCUGAAGGGGCAGGUGGCUCCAUCCCGGUAGAGGUGGGCCUGGGUUCCCGACGGCCACCGACUAUUACUUUGUGGCGGAGCGACAGGGCAGGUUGAGACCACCUAGGAGAGAGGUGGGCCUGGCCCUGGUCGGCAUUCACGGAUAGUUAACACGCUUAACAAGAUCUUGGUAUUUGAUCUGAGUCUGGCCACUGGCCUAUACGCACUAACCAACUAGCAGGAACAGUUAUGGGCACUCGGCGUCGUGGUAUCAGCCGAAGCCUUCGUGACGUCAACGACUGAGCGGCGCGCGCCGGAUUGGACUGGAACGCCUGCCAGGCUAGGUCUGCUUCCGGCCACCCACACAACAUGCAGGUGUGCAAUGGGCGAUGUGCCCAGACCCCUGCGCCAUAGGAUUUAGACCGGCGUGCUGACCUCACUGUUGUGCCUAGUUGGGGCUACGACGUGUUGAUCUUCCGAGGCCGGGCAUGACCCAGGAAAGUGUGUCCGACCAAAUGGGAUCAAGCGUGUUGGGUAAUGUGGUGCACCCCUGCAGGGAAGUUUAUCUAUUCGAAUAGCCAUGAUCUUCGGUAACAGGACGACCCGGAGUUGUACCUUGACCUUAUGACAACUAGAAACGGAUACUUAAUAAAACACACCCUUCCAAGUGCCAGAUAUAACUCGGUGAUCGCUCUCACACAGGGCGACGAGGAGAGGAUCCCCGAGUAGGAUUAUGCUAUGCGAUGCUACUUGGUGAACUUACCAUCUACUCUCUUCUACAUGCUGCAAGAUGGAGGCUGCCAGAAGUGUAGUCUUCGACAGGACUAGCUAUCCCCCUCUUAUUCUGGCAUUCUGGAGUUCAGUCCACCGAUAUUGCCCCUUUACACAGAUACCCAUGCAUAUGUAGUGUAGAUCCUUGCUUGCGAGUACUUUGGAUGAGUACUCACGGUUGCUUUUCUCCCUCUUUUCCCCCUUCCAUUCUACCUGGUUGUCGCAACCAGAUGCUGGAGCCCAGGAGCUUGACAUCACCGUUGACGACGACUCCUACUACACCGGAGGUGCCUACUACUACGUGCAGGCUGCUGACGACGAUCAGGAGUAGUUUAGGAGGAUCCCAGGCAGGAGGCCUGCGCCUCUUUCGAUCUGUAUCCUAGUUUGUGCUAGCCUUCUUAAGGCAAACUUGUUUAACUUAUGUCUGUACUCAGAUAUUGUUGCUUCUGCUGACUCGUCUAUGAUCGAGCACUUGUAUUCGAGCCCUCGAGGCCCCUGGCUUGUAUUAUGAUGCUUGUAUGACUUAUUUAUGUUUAUAGAGUUGUGUUCGGAUAUCUUCCCGUGAGUCCCUGAUCUUGAUCGUACAUGUUUGUGUGCAUGAUUAGUGUACGAUUGAAUCAGGGGCGUCACAAGUUGGUAUCAGAGCCGACUGCUUGUAGGAAUCCCCCUUCCACACUCCUUGGCUGAAGUUGAGUUUAGUCGAUCAAAACUGUUUUACUAACAUGGCUGUGCAGCCCAUGGGCCCACGUCGCCAUUGGGUGGUAGUAGGAUCUUUUAUUCCUCGACCUAUACUCUGGGACUCUGAUCUCUCUUCUAUUCGGGUUAAAAUGAAUUUACAAACUCUGACUCUAGGUUCUCGUAACUACUUCCACCCGGAGAGCCCCUUAUUACCGAUGACCGCCUGCUGCACCAGAAGAUUCCGAAGAUAAUCUACGAUGUGCUCUCGAGACUAUGUGCCAUCGCUUCCAUCGAUAAACCCCUAUGGAUAACCACGUACACUUGCCAUUCAUACAAUCAUGCCCCGUUGAUCUUGUUAUUACAAGCCUUGAAAUUCUUUUUAUUAUGUCGAGAAUACUUUGUGCUUACUGCUUUGCAGUUCUUUGCAACCUGAAUACCCCUAUGGAUAUUUUCUCGCUCUUAUCGAGUAUCCGCUCAUCCCCAGUUGAUUCAUGCAUUUCACAAAAGUCUUCGAAAUACCAUUCGAUCUUUCAAAAAUCCUCAACAGCUUGAAAUUUUUGCUUGCUUGCAUUAGGAUUAAUCCCAUAAGUCUGGUAAUCGUAUUGUCAUCCUUUGUCAUUAUCAUUUUGACUCAGUUGAUUCAAUGUGUUGCGAAUGCACGCAAUCCUCAAUCAGAUCCUAGAAUUCAUCCUUCUGGCUCAGACAUACUUUUAAACAUGAGCUGGAUCUCGACCAAUCAAAUUGCCAUCGAUUGUACCCCUAAGGCUAUUCAACUUAUCCAUCCCUAAUGAGAGCAUUGCUUCUGAUCCCUUGUCUUGUAAUUCAUAAUUCCUUUGCAAUUGAGCUUUGAAUUAGUCAGUUGUUUCUAUCAUCUGAUCUCCUUGCAUUCUUUCUUCUUCUGGUUGAGUACCGAUGCUCACAUCGAAUCUCUUAUGGACCACUAGAUCCUUUGUUGGAUUUUAUCCGACAGCGUCCUUCGUAUUCAAUAAGCUUGUGAGCCUUUCCUAGGGUAAAUAAUGCCUUUGGUAAAUUAUAUCCUUUGCUUGUCAACCAUGCUCCACCCCCAAGCUUGAGUUAUUCGCUCCUGAAGUUUGUGGUAUAUGUUCCUAAGAGGCCCAGAUGGGUUGAACCUAUGCCUUUUUGAAUCAGUGUGAACCCGGAAACUACUACGGGUCAUACUCUACUGGUGUUAUGUUAGAUAAAAUUUCAAUACUACAACUAAUGUCAUUUUCGAAAUACGAGAGGUGAAUGAAAGGUUAUGCGUUGAACAAGUGGGAGUCGACCUUGAACCCUGUGUUCAUGCCCGUGGACAUGAUGUAUACCUUAUCAUGGAAGCUUCUCUUAAAAUAAUUAUGCCGUUGUUAUAAGUUCAUCUUGUAUCUGUGGACGUGGUUCCGACCAUGUUUAUCCUUGAUUCCAUUUCUCGUGCAAGUUUGAGCACUUGUCUUCUGCAGAGCAUUACCCUAGUCCAACCUCUACUUUGAUCUGUCGUCGAGUAUUACCCCCUAGUAUCUCGAGAUUAUCACAUAACUGCAUAACCUCUUAUGAGUUCUUCAUCAAGUACUACAUCCUCACUGAUUCCAAUUUUUCACGGGCUCCGAUUUAUUAAACACUGAAAGACACCGAUAACUGAACCGAGUCCGCAUUAAGGUUCAACAACUCUUACUAAUAUUCUUUACUUAUGAGUUUCUACCCGAUCAUGUCAUUCCUAGCCUGAUCGGCUAUAUCAUUAUCGUGCUAAAUCUUAACUGUGCUACCUCGACCUUCUUCCCGGAACACAAUUUUUGACGCUGAGCUAAGCUUAUGUUGAUUUCCUUGUCUUAUCAUUCCACCUCGAACAACAAGCUUGGUUUCGAGUUUGUGUCAUACUCAUGGUUCCAAUAACCUUCCGAUUCAUCAUUCCUUUGACUUGAUGUCAUCGCGGAUUGAUUACACCUACAUGAAAUCUCUCGACAAUUGUGUCGUGAUCAUCAUCAACAUUUUGAGCUCUUCAAGGAUAUCGAUCGAAUUCAUGCUGAGAAAUACCAUCAUUUCCCCUCGAUGAAUUGUGUUAUCAUCAACAACAAUAUUGCCUUCCCUCCAACACAAAGUUGUUCAUGUUAUGAAGCUCCUUGCUAUCCAUCUUAUGUUAUUUCUACCUUGGAGUAUUACCAUCUAUUAUGUCAAGAACGAUGUGAGAAUUGCUCCACCUCUUAAAAAAUUCUUGAUAUAGUAAUACUUAUUGCCAUCUCCAUUCAUUUCUUGGUCUCCGUUCUGUUUCUAACCGGAAUACCGACAAAUGGUCUGUGAUGUGUAAAUUCAAAACUUCUAGCAACCCUAUUGCUUUGACGUUAAUGGUCGAUAGCUUCGUUAUAAGUCUAUUGCUUAUUGAAUCAUCAUUCGAACAUUGAUCGUGCAACCUAGUCCAGAUUUCCGGGUGCACCUUUCUAUCAUUGUUCAAUCGUGUGUGUUUUCAUCGAACAUCCAUCAUUAUAUCAUUUGAUCUGACUAAUGUUAUCUCCUUGUUCACAUAAAUGUGGAAAUCCAUCUUCUGGAAAUCUUGUUGGAUUGUUGCUGAGUUCAUCAGCCACCUCCUCAUUCUUUCCUUGGUUUAAUGAUGAACUAUUGUUCCAGAACUCGCUUCCAUAGUUCAUGUCCCGAGAAUCUUACAAUAUCAUCUCGCUUAAUUUGUGUCGCACCCUUUUCUUCUCAGGCAUCUUGAGUCUGAGGUAUCCCGACGCCAAUCGAAUCUGAACCUCGGUCAGAAAUGAUGGUUGGAAUAUAUUUCCAACAGUUAUAGCAUUGGUCUUUUUAUGACCCGAUAAGGUGAUGUCAUGCCUAGCACACCUGGCCGGAGGACCUAUUGUUAUAGUUUCCUUUUAGCAAGGUUAUCUAUUCUUCCAUGAAGAAAUGGUAAGACUUAUUCUAUAAGUUGUUCCUGAUGGAUCCUUUGUGAACAAAGUCUGAUCUUUACCCAAUGACCAUGCCAAUUCUAUAUCUAAGCAUGUCUGUGGUACUCCGAUUUUCAGCAAAGCCCAAUGCUAAAUGUUUCCUGCUCAAUUAUCCAAACACCGCCGUAUGGGUAAUGGCAUGAAAUUUCUCUCCCCUUUCCUAAAGGGUUUUCUACGUUAUAUCCCGUCAUGGAUAUCAUGCUCUGUUUGUCCUUGGGAAGGAUAUACCCUUGAAAUAUGUGUUUAAACACAUUUUCCUUUCCAUUGUUCCGUUUAAUCUGAUGAUCACCUUUUUCUUUCAAUUUUUUUGUUUAAACCUUUCUUGUGAUCUAUAUGAUCUAAGCAGUAAUAAAUCACUGCUUAUGUAAACACCUCGGUGUACAACUCUGUUAGUAAGACCCUGUAGCAUUCCGGUAGCCACCGAUGGACGAGAACUUUGCCUAUUGGUCCGCCUCGUUCAACGAGCAGGAAAAUGGUUCUCUUCGUCCCUAGCCCUUGGUACCGACGUUGUUGCCGACAUAAUCGACAGGCUACCCUCCGACCUGCCUUGCUAUCAUAACCAUGCAAGAUGUCACCGCUCCUCCUACUUUUAACCCACAUGGUGGGCCCAUAACCCACAGUUCCACAGGAUCGAAACCUAACUCUUACAUCCUUGAUUCUCAAGUAUCCUUUGCACUUAACUUCGUAUGUAAUUCACGAGUCACCUUCCUACAGAUGAUCUGUUCUGGUAUCAGACGCAAUACUUAUUCUCUUUUCUCUAGACCCCUUUCACACUUUGUUUCAGGCAUCGAACGAUUGCCUGCCCGCUCGAAACUUCCCAUGAUACCUCCUUACUUUGCUCUCUAUAUGUUCUUAAGUUUCAAUUCGAGAGUUACUUCCGCCACCUUCCUCGAUGUUAUCGACCAGAUAGUCGACCUUGCAGAGGUCUGUUCUCCCGGAAUGCCCACCCUUUAUUCUUUCGUAAGUACGAUGGAGGUCCCGAAGAAAGGAUGUCGACUUCAUCAUGAUGACCUGAAGCAGAGAAAUGAAGACAUCAAUGUAUUGGACCAGCCUCUUCAAGAAGAGCAAGCCAGAAUGAGAGGACCCACUAGAUUCGUUACCAAACCUUCCCCCCUUUCACUACCUAUUAAAUCUCGGGACGAGCUUUCUUGUAAAUGGAGGAGAAUUGUGACGCCCAGAUAAUCAAGCUACAGUAACCUCUGCUAAUGCUGCCACUUCACCUCGGUUACUGUUGCUAAUCUCACGUUGGAUCAAAACUGAUUCAAAUUCAAAAUUUAAUUGAAGGCAAACAACAGAAGUUUUCAAACAUUAAAACUAAAAUGUUCGAGUUGUGCCAAAUAAUGGGAAGGUAAUUGUGGUGAAGAAACCCCGCUUUUACAAAAUGUUUAAGUACUCUAAGGUGAAUAAAACAAGGACUAAACAAUUAUUUAAAUGCUUUUAAACAUAAUAAACAAUUACGAACUAUCUUAUUUUAGGUGCCAAAAUUAAUUGUGACAGUGGCAUAAUUAAUAAUACAAUUUUAGCUACAAAUUUUGUAUUUUGUAAAAUUAAAAUUAAAUAAAACAGAAAAGAAAAAAAAGAAAAAAA